This is a long non-coding RNA of Homo sapiens (human), 1734 nucleotides long. Ensembl annotates it as GDF5 antisense RNA 1. Its record names the gene GDF5-AS1. Lineage: Eukaryota; Metazoa; Chordata; Mammalia; Primates; Hominidae. The record is from Ensembl.
AGGGAUCUAUUUUGGAGACAACAAACUUGACUAAGGAAUCUCAAGAAGAAAAUAUAAUUCUGCUGCCAGGCCCCAAUGGAGCAAAUAGAGCUCGGGACCCAGGGGCCUUUGGAAGGAACAGGAAUGCGGUUAGAGGAGUGCAGGAAGGGGCUCUUGGGAUGUGCCACCCAGGAAGACAGAGGGCCAGUGCUGCUACCUGCAGCCACACGACUCCACGACCAUGUCCUCAUACUGCUUAUACACCACGUUGUUGGCAGAGUCAAUGAAGAGGAUGCUGAUGGGACUCAGCCGCGUGGGCACACAGCAGGUGGGUGGUGUGGACUCGGGGUCCAUGGAGUUCAUCAGGGUCUGGAUGACUGCAUGAUUCGUGGGCUCCAGGUGGGAGCGCAAUGGGAACUCGCACAGCCCCUCGCAGUGGAAAGCCUCGUACUCAAGGGGUGCGAUGAUCCAGUCGUCCCAGCCCAUGUCCUUGAAGUUGACAUGCAGUGCCUUCCGACUGCAGCGAGCCUUAAGGUUCUUGCUGGGUCGCUUGCCCUGGCGAGUGGCCAGUGGGGCCCGCCGUUUUCGCCGCUGGCUGAACAGGUACUCAUACACGGUCUUAUCGUCCUGGCCAGAGCGGGCCUUAAUCUCAUUAAAGAACAGGUCCCGUUUCUUGGUGCGGCCAAACACCAGGAACAGGGCUUUCUCGUGGACCUGCCGGGCGGCGCGGUCGAAGCCCAGGCCACGGAGGUCCACGGCCCUGCCCCGUUCCCAGGCCUCCAGCUCCAGGCACAGCUGGGCCGAGUUCUUAAAGUUUCGGAAGAGCUUCCAGAUGUCGAACACCUCCCAGCCAGAUCCGUCCAGGCCUGGCACGGAGCGCACAUCCAGCAAGGCGGCCGGCUGCCGGCCGCUGGGGCAGCUGGACAGCUUCAGCUGGGCAGCCCGCCCGCCUCCGGGGGCCGCUGGCUUGGCCGUGUCCGAGGGCUUCUUCCGCAAGAUCCGCAGCUCGGCCCCCAGCAGCCCAUCCUUCUCCAGGGCACUAAUGUCAAACACGUACCUCUGCUUCCUGACCACGGGACCUCGGUCAUCUAGAGAGAACACCCAGAAGUCAUUCCCUGCAACCUCACCAAGGGAGCCAGUCACUUCGAGGCUGCGGGGGAAGGCCCCAGCUCUCUCCCAGUCCAGAGAGCUUUCUUUCACCUCUGCCCCAUUCUGACAGAAGCCAAGAGCCAAACCACUGAGAGCCUUUUUGAAAAUGAGAGCAUUUCCUACAUAGCCGACCAAGUAGGGGUGUUCACCUGAAGAUGUGGCUGGGGAUGAUUUGCGUGAUUCUGGUGUUUGUGUCAUGAUAUACGUGUUAUCAGAGAUUUAUCAGCUUUGUAACUGCCUUCUACCUAUCUCUCUCCCAGCCAUGAGCUAACGUGAUGUCUCAUUUGUGAGAUAGGUGGAGUGAGCAUUAAAAUUACUCCUGUUGACUGGGCACAGUGGCUCACACCUGCAAUCCCAGCACUUUGGGAGGCUGAGGUGGGUGGAUUGCUUGAGCUCCGGAGUUCGAAACCAGCCUGCACAACAUGGUGACACUCUGUCUCUACAAAAAAUACAAAAAUUAACCAGGCAUGGUGGCGUGCACAUGUAGUCCCAGCUACUCAGGAGGCUGAGGUGGGAGGAUUGAUUGACCCCAGGGAGGUCAAGGCUUCAGUGAGCCGUGAAUUCGCUAUUGCACUCCGGCCUGGGCAACAGAGAAAGACCCUGGCU